RNAcentral lists this ribosomal RNA (243 nucleotides) under uncultured Lactobacillus sp. RNAcentral describes it as "partial 16S ribosomal RNA". It matches the Rfam family "Bacterial small subunit ribosomal RNA", at positions 116 to 351 of the family's 1533-position model. The record is from RNAcentral. Lineage: Bacteria; Bacillati; Bacillota; Bacilli; Lactobacillales; Lactobacillaceae.
CGUGGGUAACCUGCCCAAGAGAUCGGGAUAACACCUGGAAACAGAUGCUAAUACCGGAUAACAACAGAUGAUGCCUAUCAACUGUUUAAAAGAUGGUUCUGCUAUCACUCUUGGAUGGACCUGCGGUGCAUUAGCUAGUUGGUAGGGUAACGGCCUACCAAGGCGAUGAUGCAUAGCCGAGUUGAGAGACUGAUCGGCCACAUUGGGACUGAUACACGGCCCAAACUCCUACGGGAAGCAGAU